UUUCCUUUUAUUGAACCUCACCAUUUCUGGCAUCUCAACUUUCCCUACACUGUACUUCCAAUUGAGCCUGUCUUCUUUAGCCAGCAAGAGAACUAUCGGAAUCACUCUCAGCUGCUCAAGCCAGCAUCACUAGUUCCAGAAUCGUUGGUAACCAGUGGCCUCUGGGAGAAGGUAGCCGUGUCCUCAGGCCAGACAUGAAGAGCCUAAUCAGACAAGAAAGAAGAGGAUGCUGAGGGAGGCCUGGAGGCCUUACAGGUAAAACUGGUCAAACAACUUGAUGAAGAAGAGCGGUUUGAGUCUGGCACCAAUGCUGUAUUGGAAAAACAAGCCUGUGACUUGUUUUUAGGUGUCUAUUUAAAAAGGAUCGGAAGUUCAGCCUAGAGUUAACAUCUGCCACCAAUCCUCUUUUUGCUGAAGAAGACUGGCCCUGAGCUAACAUGCAUGACCAUCUUCCUCUACUUUAUAUGUGAGAUGUGCCACAGCAUAGCUUGACAAGUGGUGUGUAGGUCUGCACCCAGGAUCCGAAUUGGCGAAUGCUGGGCUGCUGCAGCGGACCACGCGAACUUAACCACUGUGCCACCAGGCCAGCCUUGUCAUUUAUUUUUUCAUUGUUUUUUCAAUAUUUUAUUAUGAGAAUUUGUAAACAUACAGCGAAGUUGAAGUUUUAUGUUUUUAUGAUAAUAUUUUACAUACAUCCCCAGCAUAGAUUCUACAAUUGAUCUUUUACUGCAUUUACUUUAUCACAGACCUGUCUAUUCAUUCAGCCAUUUGUCACAUCAAUCCAUCUUUUAGGUGUGUGUAUUUCUGCCAGAUAUUUUAGAUUCUGACAAUUUUGCCCCAUAGCAUAAGAGGAAAUAAAACCAGAUUUGCUGCAAAGAAACAAAGAAAGAGAAUCAUGCUGGAUUUUAAAAUUCAAGUCUUAUAGAUGUGUGGGGAAGGGGCACAUUUAAGAAAAUAAUGGAGGGUAAAAAAAUUAGCUAGCAACUUAGGAACUAGAGGAAGUCCUUUGACAUUAUGAAGUGUGUCAAAAAGAUCACUGCAUUCCCAAAGAUUGCCAAACAAUUGCACGGAAAGAAGCUAAAGGUAAAGGAACUAUGGCCCAAGGAAUGCACGAUUUCAGGGAUCUGAAGAGAAUGGAAGAGCGUCUGCCAGUUUUGGAUGCCAGGAGCAUGUCUCCAAAAGGAUAGUAUCAGAAGAACCUGGAACUGUGUGCCCAUUUCCAGGAACGUCUCCCAAGCACAGAACAGGGAAUGCUGCGAUACCACAUUUUAAUCGUCUAUUCCCCUAAUGCAAAGAAUGAGGCAACAAAUGUCCCUUAACAUUUCUCUUUGUCUGUGAGUGUGAGCUUCUCCAAGAGAGUGGUCUUUGUGCUAGUUCUCUAGGGCUCCUGUAAGAAAGUACCACAGGCCGGAUGGCUGAAACAACUCGAAUUUAUUUCUCCCAGUUCUGGAGGCUAGAAUUUUGAGAUCAAGGUGUUGGCAGGGAUGGUUCCUUCUGAGGAUUGUGAGGGAGAGUCUGUUCCAGGCUUCCCUUGGCUUGUAGAUAGCUGUCUUCUCAUUGUGUCUCUACAUUGUCUUUCCUCUGUCUCUGUGUCCAAAUUUCCCUUUUUAUAAGAACACCAAAUGUAUUGGAUUAGGGCCCACCCUAAUGACCUUAUUUUAACUUGAUUACAUCCGGAAAGGGCCUAUCUCCAAAUUCAGUCACAUUCUGAGGUACUGGGGUUGAGACUUCAAUGCGUGAAUGUUGGAGCAGACAAAAUACAACCCGUAGUCUUCAAAUUUAUUUCUUGCAUAACCCGAAAAAGAAUUUGGAAAAACUGUGUACCCUUCACACAGUUUAAUAUUGACACUUAACAAUUUAAAUCAUAGAUUUAAACAGUUCCAAAGGAUAAAAUUUUUGUCGUGUAAAUAUUGAUGUCAAAAUUUGGCGUCAAAAUAAAACGGUUACUCUUUUAAGGGUGUCCAAAGGAAUCUAAAUACCAUAACAAUUUGAUUCAAUAAUUAUAAUCUAUUUAAAAAUGCCUGCGUAAUUUCCAAUGGAAAUUUUAUAUCUUUCCUUUUUUUGCUUUCCAUUCCAAUUCUCCCACAGAAUUUUACCUUCAUGUAACAUAUUUUAAUACCAGAAAGUCUCUUUUUUGACCACCCCAUUAUGCUUCUCUUUGACAAAACUGUGCAUGGAAAUUGAAAUUUUGAAAUAUGUUUUAUUUCUUGGGAUCAUAAGGUUGUAAGUGUUAUUUAAACUUCCUUCUAGGUUGAGUUGUUGCCAUUGUUAUUGUUAAAUGAUGAUCAAGACAAUGAAACUACUUUAUAAAAUUAUUAUUUUGUAAUUUAUUAAACAGAAAAAAUAAGAUUUUAUUGAAAAUGUUUCUCUUGCAAUGAUACAAAUGAUGUCCCUCCCUCCAAUUAGCUCACGUAUCCAUUGACGAAUGACUUAAUGUUAGAACCGUGCAGAUUCUGUGUGAAGUUUAUCCCUGCCCUCACCCCUUUAUAGAAGUAACUGCUGAGAAAACUUAUUCAUAGUAAUAAAUAAAUGGGAAUGAAAGGUGUUUAUUAUAGCAAUUUCAUCCAAUUCUUUGAGUUCUACCCAAAUUCUAUGCCAAAUAUCACCUGGAAAUUUAUUAUAAAAAUUAUUUUUAGUACUCUCUCUGCUAAAAAUUCUAUUAAAUUCUUCUUUUAGUGAAAGUUGAAAACCACCCAACACACAAAAGACCUGUUACCCAGUUAUGAGAGUGACUCAGAGCCUCAAGUUCUGGGAGGCACACCUGACUUACCAAACAGCUCUUAGUUCCCUGUGUUGCUCUUUCACUAAAGCACCUUGUUUAGAACAGGUUGGUGUCUUAGCUUGGGUUCCUCCCAAAACAAACUCUAAGAUGAGGUCUUGAGUUCAAGAAAUUUAUCUGAGAGUUGAUCCCAGAAAGAACAUCCUAAUGGGGACCUUCUGAGUAUCCCGUAGAAUGCACCUCAGAACUGUCGCACUAAAGAACAAGGACGUUGGGAAUUUAUGCACUUUCAGUCCCUGCCCUUGUACCUGGCUGAAUACCAGAGACAGCCCUCCUUGGGCAGAGAAGCAGAAAGACUUGGGCCCUUACCACUAGAAGGUGCAGUGAACUCAGAGGUGGGCCCUUAGGAUAUACAGCGGGACAUCAAAAAUAUCUGUAGUAGGUGAAAUAUAGAAACAUUGUUAAUUUACUGAUAAAAAUAUUUAUCUUAUCAUAUUUUAAAAUAUAUUUUCAUCAAAACCUGAAGCUGCAGAUGUAUUUCAUUUAAUUCAUAAAAAGUCUCCUCCCUAUAUUGACAAAAUGAAUAUACUUUGUUAAAUCUAUCAGUUUAACAUCAUUUUUAAUUCAAAUAAAUGUUAUUAGAAUUCAAAAAUCUUAAGUAUUCUUUGAAUUUAAUAUUGAGUAAAUAUCAACUACUACUAAAACUACUGAAAAUAAAUUUCAGAAUGCAUAUUGUAAAGAGAUUUAUACGAUGUGGAUGUAAUAUAAUUAAUUUAUUCACUUAAUAAUGUUAUGCAAAUAAGAAAAUAAAUUGAGGUGUUGUUUCUUGUUAUUUAAUUUAUAAUAAUGUAACACACUAUUUUGCUAAAAUUGUAAAUUACUUUUGAAGUGAGGCAUAUGAUAAAAAGCACCGUAUUUCUUUGGUGAAUGUAUUUGUGUGCAUGUAUUCUGCUAUGAGGAACAAUUAAAUUAGAACCAAGUAUAGAUACCAUACUGUAUUAAUUUCUAGACCUCAGGUUAAAACUUUUCCUCAUAUUUAAAGGAAGAGAAAGCUACCUACUGCUAAAAUGCAUCGGUCUAGAAGCGAGUAUAUAAUUUUAUUUAUUUUUUUGUUACAGGAGUAGAAAGCAUUAAGUGUUUUAUAAAUAAAGUUAGAUGAGAAUUAACUUCAACUGGAAUAGAUGUGCAUUUUAGCUGGUUUGUUGAAGAGCACACACCAAAUCAGAAAGAAAUUAUGCACAGGUCUUACUUAUGGAUUUUAUCCAAUUUACUUUGAGCAGUUUGGUAGUUCCAGAAAAACAUUUUCAGGUACAUUUAAAAAUAUCAGAGUCACUAACAUGUCCUCUUUUGGCUAUUCAAAGGUAUUUUUCUUUCCAGCUAGUGAUACGUUUUAGGCAUAAAUAUUGAGGAUAGCCUCACAGAAUUGCCUACACCCAAAUACAGGAAAAAAGUCAGAGAGCAUUAAAAAUAUUUUACUCAUGAUUUGCUCUCAUGAACUCCCCCCACCCAACCACCACCAAAAACGCUGUAAUUUCUGACAUUAGUCUGUGAAUAACAGAGGCAAAAUGUUAAUGAAACUGAUUAUCACUUCCUCUCCUCCCUACCAUGCAACUGAGUGUCCCAUUUUAAAGAUUUUAUUUUUUUCCUUUUUCUCCCCAAAGCACCCCGGUACAUAGUUGUAUAUUCUUAGUUGUAGGUCCUUCUAGUUGUGGUAUGUGGGACACCGCCUCAGUGUGGCUUGAUGAGCAGUGCCAUGUCCGCACCCAGAAUUCAAACCGACGAAACACUGGGCCGCCUGCAGCAGAACGCGCGAAUUUAACCACUGGGCCACGGGGCCAGCCCCUGAGUGUCCCAUUUUAACCCAAAACUUCACCCUUAACAGAAAUGUGUGUGAUAUAGGGAAAACUGGAAGACCAAAGGUGUGUGGUGCCCUAAGUAAUCACUAAAGUAGGCUUUGCUUUUGUUUGUUUACCCAAGGUUUCUGAACUCAGGAGCAAUGUUCUGAAGGAAGAUGUGGGAUGAUGUGGAAAGGGCACAGGCAGGCUCUUAGGUCAGCCUGGUAAAACUCUCCGUGCUCGCGGACCCUUUGCAUAGCCCUGGUGUGAAGACCGUCAGAUUCUUGGACAUUCACGUGUUCAAUUUUAAUGCAUGCUGCCAAAUUGCCCUUCAAGGUUUUCGUGCCAAUGUACACCUCCAGCACCUGUGUACCUGUGUAUGAGCAUUCCCGUCACUCUAGACACUUGCCAACGUUUGCUAUCACCUGACUUUGAAGUUUUUGCCUACUUGGCAGAUGAGAAAUGUCAUUUCACAGAUUUUACUUUACAUUUUCCAAGUUAUUAAUGAGUUUGGGCUUAUAUGGUUGAUGGCUAUUUGAAUUUCUACUGCAGUGAAUUGCCUUUUAUUUCUUUUCCUUGUGUUUUUUGUUUUUGUUUUAAGAAGAUUAGCCCUAAGCUAACAUCUGCUGCCAAAUGCUAAUCCUCCUCUUUUUGCUGAGGAAUGUUGGCCCUGAGCUAACAUCCAUGCCCAUCUUCCUCUAUUUUAUAUGUAGGACUCCUGCCAGCGCAUGGCUUGAUGAGCGGUGCGUAGGUCCAUGCUCAGGAUCCGAACUGGCGAACUCCAGGCCACCGAAGUGGAAUGUGUGAACUUAACCACUAUGCCACUGGGCUGGCCCCUCUUUUCCUCAUUUUUUCAUGUCAUUUUUUAAAAUUU
Molecule: long non-coding RNA, 5428 nt
Organism: Equus asinus (donkey)
Lineage: Eukaryota; Metazoa; Chordata; Mammalia; Perissodactyla; Equidae
Source: Ensembl